This 106-nucleotide small nuclear RNA is filed under the name Salvator merianae (Argentine black and white tegu). Lineage: Eukaryota; Metazoa; Chordata; Lepidosauria; Squamata; Teiidae. The record is from RNAcentral.
GUGUUUGCUCCAGCAACACAUAUACUAAAAUUUAAUUGAUACAGCAAAGAUUAGCAUGGCCGCUGUGCAAGCAUGACAUGCAAAUUGUGAAGUGUUCCAUAUUGUU